This 592-nucleotide long non-coding RNA is filed under the name Monodelphis domestica (gray short-tailed opossum). RNAcentral describes it as "lncRNA (ENSMODG00000031843.2)". Lineage: Eukaryota; Metazoa; Chordata; Mammalia; Didelphimorphia; Didelphidae. The record is from RNAcentral.
AUUCAUUAAUUGGCCCAAGAUGGGGGUUUGUCAUUCCAGGCCCUAUUCUCCCCUUUCCUGUCCAGAGGACUUGCAGCCCUGGCCCAGGGACACAUGGGGAUCUGGGGAGGGGGAGGUACUGCUCUCUCCCUGGGAAGUUCUGGAUCUGGUUAUGUCUGAAGCCACACAGAGCACUUAGUCUGGCAGAUGCUUGACUUGUGACAGAUUUGCCGGGACCUAUCAGGUUUUUGCUUUCAUGUGUACUGUCACUUGUGUAUGCUGCCUGUGCUAAGAAGCAAACUGAAAAAGACAAUUUCUGCUCUCGUGGAUGUCACCUGUUUCAGGAACAAGACACUUUGCUUCUAUUUUCUUAACAGAAGAGGGAUUGUACAGUCAGAAGGACUCCGGGAUAGGAUGCCGUAACCUGCCACUUUAUCAACACAUCCUGCCCUGGUAUUUCUCUCACUUGAGUCUUUACCUGAAGCUCAGAAGAGAAUAGAUGAAAGACCAGAGGAGACUUUCUCAGGCUAAGAGAUGACAGCAGCCAGAACAUUUGGUAAAAUAGUUUAUGGACAACGCGUUUUGGUAUUUUUGUGUGCAUGUGUUAAUCCUU